UUAAUGGAGAGUUUGAUCCUGGCUCAGGACGAACGCUGGCGGCGUGCCUAAUACAUGCAAGUCGAGCGGAGUUGAUG
This 77-nucleotide non-coding RNA is filed under the name Paenibacillus sp. MY03. Its description in RNAcentral is "Bacterial small subunit ribosomal RNA". It matches the Rfam family "Bacterial small subunit ribosomal RNA", at positions 1 to 77 of the family's 1533-position model. Lineage: Bacteria; Bacillati; Bacillota; Bacilli; Caryophanales; Paenibacillaceae. The record is from Rfam by way of RNAcentral. RNAcentral also lists the same sequence under 1 other name.